This 828-nucleotide ribosomal RNA is filed under the name Psora decipiens. RNAcentral's name for it is "LSU rRNA". It matches the Rfam family "Eukaryotic large subunit ribosomal RNA", at positions 95 to 938 of the family's 3401-position model. The record is from RNAcentral. Lineage: Eukaryota; Fungi; Ascomycota; Lecanoromycetes; Lecanorales; Psoraceae.
GAAGCGGCAACAGCUCAAAUUUGAAAUCUGACCCUCUGGGGUCCGAGUUGUAAUUUGCAGAGGGUGUUUCGGGCACGGUGCCGGUUUAAGUCCUUUGGAACAGGGUGUCAUAGAGGGUGAGAACCCCGUAUGUGACCGGUCGCCAAACCUAUGUGAAACCCCUUCGACGAGUCGAGUUGUUUGGGAAUGCAGCUCAAAAUGGGUGGUAAAUUUCAUCUAAAGCUAAAUAUUGGCCAGAGACCGAUAGCGCACAAGUAGAGUGAUCGAAAGAUGAAAAGCACUUUGGAAAGAGAGUCAAACAGCACGUGAAAUUGUUGAAAGGGAAGCGCUUGCGACCAGACCUGCUCGCGGGUGAUCAGCGGUGCUUUUCGCGCCGUGCACUCAUCCGCGAUCAGGCCAGCAUCGGUUCAGGCGGCCGGACAAAGACUCGGAGAAUGUAGCUCCCUCCGGGGAGUGUUAUAGCUCCUUGUGCAAUACGGCCAGCCGGGACCGAGGACCGCGCUUCGGCUAGGAUGCUGGCGUAAUGGUCGUAAGCGACCCGUCUUGAAACACGGACCAAGGAGUCUAACAUCUGUGCGAGUGUUUGGGCGUUAAACCCAUGCGCGCAAUGAAAGUGAACGUGAGGUGGGAACCCUCUCGGGGGCGCACCAUCGACCGAUCCAGAUGUCUUCGGAUGGAUUUGAGUAAGAGCACAGCUGUUGGGACCCGAAAGAUGGUGAACUAUGCCUGAAUAGGGUGAAGCCAGAGGAAACUCUGGUGGAGGCUCGCAGCGGUUCUGACGUGCAAAUCGAUCGUCAAAUUUGGGUAUAGGGGCGAAAGACUAAUCGA